Molecule: non-coding RNA, 27 nt
Filed under: Mus musculus (house mouse)
Lineage: Eukaryota; Metazoa; Chordata; Mammalia; Rodentia; Muridae
Source: RNAcentral
UGUACUUGGAGCACCAAAUAUCUAGUA